Molecule: long non-coding RNA, 1016 nt
Organism: Larimichthys crocea (large yellow croaker)
Lineage: Eukaryota; Metazoa; Chordata; Actinopteri; Sciaenidae
Exons: 4
Source: RefSeq, a predicted model, not a curated record
CAUUUUUCACCCCAAUAGAAUUGGAAAUAUUAAUGACUGCAUAUGGAGAAUAUGAGCAUGUCUUUAGAAAGAAGUGCAACACUGCAGCGGCUGCUAAAGAGAGGGAGAGGGCAUGGGAGAGCAUUGCUGCUCGGGUCAAUGCGUAAGUUUAAAUGUAAUAUUUUGCAAUCACAAUAACUAUUGAAGGGCAAAUUGCAUGAAUGGAGCCUAUUAAUUUAUUUCAUGUAGGUGCAAUCCGGCGGGGGAGAAGCGCACUUGGCAGCAACUUAAGAUGAAAUAUAAAAACAUUGUUCAAACAGGUCAGACAUCUGCAUGACUUGACUCUGAACUUCUUUGAUCCCUUCCAUAAUGCUCUUUUAACACUCAAAAAUGUCUUCUUUAUAUUGUAUUAAACAAUGAAGCCUAAUAAACUAACCCAGAUUUUUACUCAGCCAACAGAAAGAGGGCAGAUGCCCGAAAAACAGGUGGUGGCCCAGCAGCCCCACCUCUAACGGAGGCAGAGGAGCUGGCCCUGAGCCAGAAUGUGGGAAGGCCAGUGGCAGAGGGAAUCCCUGGUGGGAGCUCAUCCUCUGAGCCCCCACCUCAAGACACAAGUGCCUACAUAAAAUAUUCUGAUGGUGCCAUCUGCCUGGUGGAGCCCCCUCACGCCACAGCAGACCCUGCAACUGACGAAGACAAUGAGGAGGAAACAAUGUCUGCUGCCUUCACAGAGGAGGAUCCUGGAAGGCCUAUUGAGAGUGUGGCUGGGCAGCAGCAGGAGACUCCCCUGACCUCAACUGCAGAGAUUGACACAGUGAGACAGCUGUUCAUGAAACUCCAGAGAUUUAUUGUGUGGAAUUCAUGUACAACAGGUUAAUUUUAUGUCCUCUUUAUGUAUUCCCAGUUACCAGUAAAAGAAAUUUAUAAAAUUCACCUCCUAAAAAAAAUCCAGAAGACCGAUAAAGAAAUGCUAUACCUCGACCGCCAGAUUAAAAAAGCAGAUUUGGAAAUCCAAAUACUGGAACAUAAAUUAAAGG